GAUGAACGCUGGCGGCGUGCCUAAUACAUGCAAGUCGAGCGAACAGACGAGGAGCUUGCUCCUCUGACGUUAGCGGCGGACGGGUGAGUAACACGUGGAUAACCUACCUAUAAGACUGGGAUAACUUCGGGAAACCGGAGCUAAUACCGGAUAAUAUAUUGAACCGCAUGGUUCAAUAGUGAAAGACGGUUUUGCUGUCACUUAUAGAUGGAUCCGCGCCGCAUUAGCUAGUUGGUAAGGUAACGGCUUACCAAGGCAACGAUGCGUAGCCGACCUGAGAGGGUGAUCGGCCACACUGGAACUGAGACACGGUCCAGACUCCUACGGGAGGCAGCAGUAGGGAAUCUUCCGCAAUGGGCGAAAGCUUGACGGAGCAACGCCGCGUGAGUGAUGAAGGUCUUCGGAUCGUAGAACUCUGUUAUUAGGGAAGAACAAAUGUGUAAGUAACUAUGCACGUCUUGACGGUACCUAAUCAGAAAGCCACGGCUAACUACGUG
Molecule: ribosomal RNA, 497 nt
Filed under: uncultured bacterium
Lineage: Bacteria
Description: partial 16S ribosomal RNA
Rfam family: Bacterial small subunit ribosomal RNA
Source: RNAcentral